This 1275-nucleotide ribosomal RNA is filed under the name Egea inermis. RNAcentral's name for it is "16S ribosomal RNA". The stretch from base 823 to 1214 matches the Rfam family "Bacterial large subunit ribosomal RNA", at positions 2049 to 2651 of the family's 2925-position model. The record is from RNAcentral. Lineage: Eukaryota; Metazoa; Mollusca; Cephalopoda; Oegopsida; Cranchiidae.
CAAAUUGUUUUUUGUUUUAGUAUUAGUAGUAUAGAAUAAAUGUUGUUAAAGUACUGUAAAGGUUAGAAAUUUGGUGAAAUAAUUAUUGUUUAGUAGAAGUUUAUUUUUGUACCUUUUGUAUAAUGGGUUAAUGAUUUUAUUUAUUUUAUGGUGAUAUCUCGAAGUGGAAGGAUUUACUUAGUAGGUUUAUGUUAACGUUGUAUAGUUAUAUAUUGAUUAUUAGGUGGUAGUGAUAUGUUUAUCGUUUUUCAUGAUAGCUAGUUUGUUGGUUUAAGGAUAUUUAAGUAUCAUGACGUUAAUAUAGACUAGAUAUGGUUUGUUUUGGUGUCAGUUUAUUGUAUAAGGGAUAAGCUUUAUAUAAUUGUUUAGAAUUUUGUAGAUAGAUUAAUGUGAUUUAAGUAGGAUUAAAAAUGUUUUUCUUUAAAAGUAGUUUAAAUUGGUUAAUGAUAGGUAAAAUUAGUUUCAGUUUAUAGCUAAUAAAUAUUUAUUAAUUAAUUAUAGAUAAAUAUAAUGUUAAUAUGAGUAUUAGUUUUUUGUUUAUGUUUAUUUAUUAUAUAGUUGUGAAUGGUAGGUAAAAUAAAUAAUGUAUGAAAGUAAGGUAAAGGAAUUCGGCAAAUAUUGAUCUCGCCUGUUUAUCAAAAACAUCUCUCUUUGUAAAUAAUAUAUAAAGAGUUGGGCCUGCUCGGUGAAUGGAUUAUUUUAACAGCUGCGGUAUUUUAACUGUACUAAGGUAGCAUAAUAAUUUGCCUUAUAAUUUGAGGCUGGAAUGAAUGGUUUGACGAAGGUUAAUCUGUCUCUAUUUUAUUUUUUAGAAUUUAAUUUUAUAGUGAAAAAGCUUUAAUUUUUUAAAGGGACGAGAAGACCCUAUUGAGCUUAUAAUUUUAUAGAUUACUAAAAUUGUUUAUUUUAAUAGUGGUAUAUAAAUUUUAGUUGGGGUGAUUAAGGAAUAAAGUUUUUGUUAGUAACUUCCUUAGAGUAAAGUAUUAUUUGAUGAAGUAACCAAUAUGAUAUUGCUUUUAUUAAAGUUACCAUAGGGAUAACAGCGUAAUUUGUUUAGAGAGUUCUUAUUGAAAAACGAGAUUGCGACCUCGAUGUUGGAUUAAAGUGACCUCAAGGUGAAGAAGCUUUGUUAGGUAAAUCUGUUCGAUUUUUAAAACUUUACAUGAUCUGAGUUCAGACCGGCGUGAGCCAGGUUGGUUUCUAUCUUUUAAAAUGUUUGUAGCUUCUUUUAGUACGAAAGGACCAAAGAAAGUUAAAGGUUAUUAUUAUAAUACA